This is a non-coding RNA of Salmo salar (Atlantic salmon), 58 nucleotides long. Lineage: Eukaryota; Metazoa; Chordata; Actinopteri; Salmoniformes; Salmonidae. The record is from Rfam.
UGGCUCAGUUGGUAGAACAUGGUGUUUGCAACGCCAGGGUUGUGGGUUUGAUUCCCAC